UGAAAGCUUGCUUUUGAAAGUCGAGUGGCAAACGGGUGAGUAACGCGUAGACAACCUGCCGUAAAGAUGGGGACAACAGUCCGAAAGGACUGCUAAUACCGAAUGUUGUGGAACUUCCGCAUGGGAGCUCUACUAAAGAUGGCCUCUACUUGUAAGCUAUCGCUUUACGAUGGGUCUGCGUCUGAUUAGCUAGUUGGUGGGGUAACGGCUUACCAAGGCGACGAUCAGUAGCCGGUCUGAGAGGAUGAACGGCCACAUUGGAACUGAGACACGGUCCAGACUCCUACGGGAGGCAGCAGUGGGGAAUCUUCCGCAAUGGGCGCAAGCCUGACGGAGCAACGCCGCGUGAGUGAAGAAGGGUUUCGACUCGUAAAGCUCUGUUGUCGGGGACGAAUGUGGAGAUGGUGAAUAACCGUUUCCAAUGACGGUACCUGACGAGGAAGCCACGGCUAACUACGGUGCCAGC
This 466-nucleotide ribosomal RNA is filed under the name Mitsuokella multacida. RNAcentral's name for it is "bacterial SSU rRNA". It matches the Rfam family "Bacterial small subunit ribosomal RNA", at positions 73 to 512 of the family's 1533-position model. The record is from RNAcentral. Lineage: Bacteria; Bacillati; Bacillota; Negativicutes; Selenomonadales; Selenomonadaceae.